RNAcentral lists this unclassified non-coding RNA (345 nucleotides) under soil metagenome. Its description in RNAcentral is "partial contains 5.8S ribosomal RNA, internal transcribed spacer 2, and large subunit ribosomal RNA". The stretch from base 1 to 121 matches the Rfam family "5.8S ribosomal RNA", at positions 35 to 154 of the family's 154-position model. The record is from RNAcentral.
GAUGAAGGACGUAGCGAAAUGCGAUAAGUAAUGCGAAUUGCAGAAUUUCCGUGAGUCAUCGAAUCUUUGAACGCACAUUGCGCCCACUGGUAUUCCGGUGGGCAUGCCUGUUCGAGCGUCAUUAUCCUCCCUCAAACCCCGGGUUUGGUGUUGGACCCAAGUUGUGUGAACAACUGGUCUUAAAGACAAUGACGGCGUCCGUGGGACCCUCGGUGCAACGAGCUUUUAGGAGCACGCAUCGAGUUGCAAGGACCUUCCGGGCCGGUCUCCUUUACUAUUUUACAAGGUUGACCUCGGAUCAGGUAGGAAUACCCGCUGAACUUAAGCAUAUCAAUAAGCGGAGGA